RNAcentral lists this unclassified non-coding RNA (389 nucleotides) under soil metagenome. RNAcentral's name for it is "partial contains 5.8S ribosomal RNA, internal transcribed spacer 2, and large subunit ribosomal RNA". The stretch from base 1 to 122 matches the Rfam family "5.8S ribosomal RNA", at positions 35 to 154 of the family's 154-position model. The record is from RNAcentral.
GAUGAAGAACGUAGCGAAAUGCGAUACUUGGUGUGAAUUGCAGAAUCCCGUGAACCAUCGAGUCUUUGAACGCAAGUUGCGCCCGAAGCCAUUAGGCCGAGGGCACGCCUGCCUGGGCGUCACACGUCGUUGCCCCCCCAUCUACUCCUUCGGGAUUGCGGGGGGCGGAUGAUGGCCUCCCGUGCGCCUCGUCGCGCGGUUGGCAUAAAUGCCAAGUCCUCGGCGACGCACGCCACGACAAUCGGUGGUUGCGAAACCUCGGUUGCCCGUCGUGUGCGGUCGUCGCGCAUCGAGGGCUCGAAAAAAUUGCCGGGCUCCGGCUCGGCUUUCAACGCGACCCCAGGUCAGGCGGGGUUACCCGCUGAAUUUAAGCAUAUCAAUAAGCGGGA